This 107-nucleotide transfer RNA is filed under the name Candidatus Woesearchaeota archaeon. RNAcentral's name for it is "tRNA-Met". The record is from RNAcentral. Lineage: Archaea; Nanobdellati; Candidatus Woesearchaeota.
AGCGAGGUGGGGCAGUCAGGAGUGCCCGGAGGGCUCAUAACCCUCAGGUCGAUGGUUCAAAAAUCCUGCGGAUGAUAUCCGCGGCUCUGGAAGUCCAUCCCUCGCUA